This 70-nucleotide transfer RNA is filed under the name Terriglobia bacterium. Its description in RNAcentral is "tRNA-Pro". The stretch from base 12 to 70 matches the Rfam family "tRNA". From Rfam's summary of the family: Transfer RNA (tRNA) molecules are approximately 80 nucleotides in length. Their secondary structure includes four short double-helical elements and three loops (D, anti-codon, and T loops). Lineage: Bacteria; Pseudomonadati; Acidobacteriota; Terriglobia. The record is from RNAcentral.
GGCCUGGCGGCGGCCUGGUAGCGCACCUGCCUUGGGCGCAGGGGGUCGGGCGUUCCAAUCGCCCCGGCCA